CAGGGUCAGGACGAGGCGAGGAGUGAAUUCCGGGGCAGACAGCGGGGCCAAGACGGAGCGUGAGGGUGGUCACCACGAAGAACUUGCCGGCGGGUUACGUACGGAGACGGCGCCGUUCUCGCCCCGGCGGGGCCGGGGGCUCAGACUUCUGCUAAACAGAUCUCGGUCUCCUCGGGACGGAGCCGGGAGCACCGACCCGGCACUGCCACCAGGGCAGGGGCCCCCCCCGCCUCAGCUCGUCGGUUCUGGGGCCGAGCAGGACGGUGAGGCUGGAGGCUGGGACGUCCAGACAGAAGUUCCAGGACAAGUACAGGCGAGUGGCCUGCGCCUGUCCUGAGCCCUCGGGGAGGCUGGACCUGUCCUUGGAGGCUGUUCUCUGGGUCUGGGUCUAGCCCCUGGGGUGUUCAGUUACCGCCCUUGUAACCGCCUUGGACAGAUUGUCUGCCCCCCACCCCCAGCAGCGUUGUGCUCUGUCUUCCACCCCUACCCCCGGGGGGAACGAUGGUGUGCUCUGUCCCGUCCCCCCACCCCCACCCCGCCCCCGCCCUGGGAACGGCGGUGUGCAAACAGCCAGCCCCGAAAAUUUGA
This is a long non-coding RNA of Leopardus geoffroyi (Geoffroy's cat), 588 nucleotides long. RefSeq lists it as uncharacterized. Lineage: Eukaryota; Metazoa; Chordata; Mammalia; Carnivora; Felidae. The transcript has 3 exons. The record is from RefSeq and is a predicted model, not a curated record.